Molecule: small nucleolar RNA, 74 nt
Filed under: Drosophila busckii
Lineage: Eukaryota; Metazoa; Arthropoda; Insecta; Diptera; Drosophilidae
Description: small nucleolar RNA Me28S-Cm2645
Rfam family: Small nucleolar RNA Me28S-Cm2645
About the family: Me28S-Cm2645 is a member of the C/D class of snoRNA which contain the C (UGAUGA) and D (CUGA) box motifs.
Source: Rfam by way of RNAcentral
CUUAUGGUGAUGAAAACUUUGAUAGGGACAUCUGAUGUCUAUGAUUGAUUUAUCUUUUAUUUAAAACUGAAAUU